GGAAAAUGAAGUUGCAGUAAAAAAGAUUUUGCUCCUAAGACUGAACAUGCCAAGCAGGGUAAUGCUCAUUGAUGCUGAACUAUUGAAUGAGCCACUGACGGCAAAGGAAAGAAGGUCCUACGGAAACAGAGGAAAUGUGGAUGUUUGUGUCAUAUACAGAAAAUUUGGCCUGGCCUGCAUGCCAGAUGAUAUCCUUCCAUCUGGUAAGGCUGAAGAUGCUGAGAACAAGGAUAGAAGGAAAGGGACCAUACCCCAGUUAGAUCUAGGCACAGGUGGAGAUCACUACAUGCCAGGCUGCAUUCUUUCAUAGCAUCUGAAUCAUUCGUACUGUCUCCACAAGCUGAAAAUGAGAAACAGACUGGCAGGAAAGUUAAAAUUUUCAAGGUGGAAAGAGCAGGGAAUAACCUGUUUUGGGGUUGGGGUUUUUUUUUAGAUUAAA
RNAcentral lists this long non-coding RNA (439 nucleotides) under Athene cunicularia (burrowing owl). Its description in RNAcentral is "lncRNA (ENSACUG00000012560.1)". Lineage: Eukaryota; Metazoa; Chordata; Aves; Strigiformes; Strigidae. The record is from RNAcentral.